RNAcentral lists this ribosomal RNA (468 nucleotides) under uncultured bacterium. Its description in RNAcentral is "partial 16S ribosomal RNA". It matches the Rfam family "Bacterial small subunit ribosomal RNA", at positions 28 to 507 of the family's 1533-position model. The record is from RNAcentral.
GACGAACGCUGGCGGCGUGCUUAACACAUGCAAGUCGAACGGAAAGGCCCUGCUUUUGUGGGGUGCUCGAGUGGCGAACGGGUGAGUAACACGUGAGUAACCUGCCCUUGACUUUGGGAUAACUUCAGGAGACUGGGGCUAAUACCGGAUAGGAGCUCCUGCUGCAUGGUGGGGGUUGGAAAGUUUCGGCGGUUGGGGAUGGACUCGCGGCUUAUCAGCUUGUUGGUGGGGUAGUGGCUUACCAAGGCUUUGACGGGUAGCCGGCCUGAGAGGGUGACCGGCCACAUUGGGACUGAGAUACGGCCCAGACUCCUACGGGAGGCAGCAGUGGGGAAUAUUGCACAAUGGGCGGAAGCCUGAUGCGGCAACGCCGCGUGCGGGAUGACGGCCUUCGGGUUGUAAACCGCUUUCGCCUGUGACGAAGCGUGAGUGACGGUAAUGGGUAAAGAAGCACCGGCUAACUACGUG